RNAcentral lists this ribosomal RNA (318 nucleotides) under uncultured eukaryote. RNAcentral describes it as "partial 18S ribosomal RNA". It matches the Rfam family "Eukaryotic small subunit ribosomal RNA", at positions 1471 to 1796 of the family's 1831-position model. The record is from RNAcentral.
CCUUAGAUGUUCUGGGCAGCACGCGCGCUACAAUGGUCUUCGCAAACGGAUGCAUUCUCGAAGGAGAAUGCCAAUCUUGGAAUCUAUGCCUUGGUCGGGACAGUUGCUUGCAAUUUUUCGACUCGAACCAGGAAUUCCUUGUAAUCGUGAUUCAUCACAUCACGAUGAAUACGUCCCUGCCCUUUGUACACACCGCCCGUCGCUCCUACCGAUCGAAGAGUUAGGUGAAUUGUUUUGAUCGAUAAGAUUUGACUAUGGUCAACUCUCGUUGUGAAAUUCUGUGAAUCUGACUGUUUAGAGGAAGGAAAAGUCGUAACA